This is a long non-coding RNA of Cavia porcellus (domestic guinea pig), 1503 nucleotides long. RefSeq lists it as uncharacterized. The record is from RefSeq and is a predicted model, not a curated record. The transcript has 3 exons. Lineage: Eukaryota; Metazoa; Chordata; Mammalia; Rodentia; Caviidae.
CCCUAGAGUCCUGGGUGGGGUGACCACAGCCAGGGGCAGGGUCUCAGGUCCAGGUCUGAUAUCUGCAGGGAAAACCUCUGUUUGCUGAGUAGGCUAAGAAGUCUCCAGUGGAUUCCAUGAGCCUGUGACCAGCACUGGCUGAGGACUUUCCAGUGAAUCUUCCCAGCCCUAUGCGACUGAAAAGGCAGUCCUCGCUCUGCAGAGAGGAGAAGCAUCAGUCAGAGCCAUCGCCUUCCUCGGCAUCCAGUGGAGAAGGCUGUGUCCUGACAGGGCCACUCUGGCUCGCUGGAGUCCCCCAGACUUGCUGGACGACAGCCGCUUUGUGAAACGCAAGCCUCAGGACCCUGAUCCAGACUUCUGAGGUUCUGCAACCCACAAGAUGGCUGUGGAAGAUGAACAAGUGCACCUGCCUGACUCACCUGCUCAGGAAAACUCGGGGUUGCUGGGUAACACCGGCCUUUUUGCUAUUUCUCCUUGGCCUCUGGGUUAAAUUUUAAGACAAUACCAGACAGACCCAGCUUUGAAUAUACGAGCUUCCCACUGGAAACACUCCACCCCGCCAGUCAGCUCCACGCCUGUGAGGGGCGAGGGCAGGGACCUGCCCACUCAUUCGUCUCCAUUGAUGUCUUAUUUCAACCCCUGCAACAGGCCAGGCCCCGAGCUUCCCCUCCAGAUGCCUGCUCCUGCCCUUCUGGAGUUUGUAGCCUAACAGGGUCUCACUAUGUAGCCCCGGCUGGCCUCAAACGUGUGGAUCCUCCUGCCUCAACCUCCCGAGUGCUGGAAUCAUAGGUGUGUGCCAUCACGCCUGGUGUUGAGCAGUUAUUCACUAUUCAAAGGAUCUGACAGGUCCAAAGCCUCGAACUGUGAGCAGGUCUCAGCUCAUAGUAAGGGGUCAGCUGGAGAUGGAUUUGUGCAGACUGAGACUGUCAGGGAGCUUGGAGUGCUUCCAAGGGGGGUGCUGGGUCCCAGGCGGGUGAUCAUGAUAAGGUGACUGUAGUAUAAUUCAGUCUGUUCAUUGCUAGAGCUGUGCAGAGUGUGUAUUGAUUUUUCCCUGAAGGAUUAGCCCAUAUGAAGCAGGAGGCCUAUGACCAAGAUAAAAUAGUGAUUGUAUUUAAAAUGCACAGCACUUGUUUUUGUGAUUAUAAAGGCCAAGAAACUUAAAAUUCUUAAAAGACAAAUGGAGACCUCCUAAGCCAACAUCGCUGCCCGGAGCUGCCUGCUCACCGGUGUCCAGGGGACUUUCCCAGUGUCGCUCCCCAGUCUAUGGGUCAGGGCCUCCAGUCUUCCUGUGUUGAACUUGAAACAGCUUUAUUCCAAUUUGGCUUGAUGUUUGUUUGUAGCACUUAUUUAAGAAGGAAAAAAGGUCAACCCUUCCCGCUUUAAACCGGCCCCUUCAUGUCUUUGUGUAUCUGUGAGUGAGUCAGGGAGAUGGAGUCAGAGGGAAGAGGGGGUGCUGGGCAGAUGAGAGGCCUUUCUGAAAGGAAGGGAGAAGAGUAAAGAAAU